GGGCAACAAAGGGUUUGGAUGAAAAACAAUUAGGUCUAUUCUCAUUUUCUUUGUUGAAAAUUGUACAAAGAUCAUACCUAAUUAAUCAUGUCGCUAAUCCUUUUGUAUAUGCCAUCUUUGAUAAAAGAUUUCGACAACAAACAGUAAAUAUUCUUACAUGCAAAACGACCGAUAAAGAUCACGACAAAAGACCAUCGGAAACAGAAAACAGUACACAAAAGGCGUCGACAUCAACUACAGCUAUAUAAACAUG
RNAcentral lists this long non-coding RNA (253 nucleotides) under Mytilus galloprovincialis (Mediterranean mussel). Lineage: Eukaryota; Metazoa; Mollusca; Bivalvia; Mytilida; Mytilidae. The record is from RNAcentral.